RNAcentral lists this RNase P RNA (353 nucleotides) under Pseudobdellovibrionaceae bacterium. Its description in RNAcentral is "Bdellovibrionaceae bacterium RNase P RNA component class A". It matches the Rfam family "Bacterial RNase P class A". From Rfam's summary of the family: Ribonuclease P (RNase P) is a ubiquitous endoribonuclease, found in archaea, bacteria and eukarya as well as chloroplasts and mitochondria. Lineage: Bacteria; Pseudomonadati; Bdellovibrionota; Bdellovibrionia; Bdellovibrionales; Pseudobdellovibrionaceae. The record is from RNAcentral.
UGCGUAGGACGGGCGAUCGCUGGCUGAAUUUCAGCGGGAGGAAAGUCCGGGCUCCAUAGAGCAGAGUACUGGCUAACGGCCAGGCAGUCUUUGACUGACGGCAAGUGCAACAGAAAGAAAACCGCCUCUUCGGAGGUAAGGGUGAAAGGGUGGGGUAAGAGCCCACCGCGCUUAAAGUGAUUUAAGUGGCACGGUAAACCCUACUUGGAGCAAGAUCAAAUAGGGAAGCAACAGAUUGGCUCGAUCUGCUUCCGGGUUGAUUGCAUGAGAUGAUCAGUAAUGAUGAUCCUAGAUGAAUGGUCGCCUCCACAGCAAUGUGAAGACAGAACCCGGCUUAUAGUCCUACGCGAAUG